GGAUUAGAUACCCUGGUAGUCCACGCCGUAAACGAUGUCUACUAGCCGUUGGGACUCUUGUAGUCUUAGUGGCGCAGCUAACGCGAUAAGUAGACCGCCUGGGGAGUACGGCCGCAAGGUUAAAACUCAAAUGAAUUGACGGGGGCCCGCACAAGCGGUGGAGCAUGUGGUUUAAUUCGAUGCAACGCGAAGAACCUUACCAGGUCUUGACAUCCAGAGAACUUUCCAGAGAUGGAUUGGUGCCUUCGGGAACUCUGAGACAGGUGCUGCAUGGCUGUCGUCAGCUCGUGUUG
Molecule: ribosomal RNA, 293 nt
Filed under: uncultured bacterium
Lineage: Bacteria
Description: partial 16S ribosomal RNA
Rfam family: Bacterial small subunit ribosomal RNA
Source: RNAcentral